This 229-nucleotide ribosomal RNA is filed under the name uncultured bacterium. Its description in RNAcentral is "partial 16S ribosomal RNA". It matches the Rfam family "Bacterial small subunit ribosomal RNA", at positions 568 to 796 of the family's 1533-position model. The record is from RNAcentral.
UCCGUAGGCGGGCAAUUAAGUCAGAGGUGAAAUCCCACAGCUCAACUGUGGAACUGCCUGUGAUACUGGUUGUCUUGAGUUAUAGUGAAGUAGAUAGAAUAUGUAGUGUAGCGGUGAAAUGCAUAGAUAUUACAUAGAAUACCGAUUGCGAAGGCAGUCUACUAACUGUAUACUGACGCUAAUGGACGAAAGCGUGGGGAGCGAACAGGAUUAGAUACCCUGGUAGUCC